Drosophila subpulchrella is the source of this 297-nucleotide long non-coding RNA. RefSeq lists it as uncharacterized. The transcript is spliced from 2 exons. Lineage: Eukaryota; Metazoa; Arthropoda; Insecta; Diptera; Drosophilidae. The record is from RefSeq and is a predicted model, not a curated record.
UAAGGCUUUGUGUUAAGUAGCAAACAUAUCAACCCUUAGAAAACAUUAUGGUCGUUUCUAGCUUCUUCUGUAAAUUGUUCAUUUUAGUGAUCAUGAUGGUAUCAUCAUGCCGUUUGAAUGGGUUACCUGAUUGCUUCCCUAUCCUUAACCGAAAGAAGCACCGUGGGUGAACAUCAAUUUUAUGGUGUUUUUAUAAAAUAAAUAAAGAGUGGUUUGUUUCGAACACUUCUGUUUUCAUCAUGAAAAAUGUACUCCUAUAACGUCCCAUUAAAACAAGAACAUGAAACUGAUAUGGAA